CCUACGGUGUGCAGCAGUGAGGAAUAUUGGUCAAUUGACGCAAGUCUGAACCCUCCAAGUAGCGUGCAGGAUGACGGCCCUCCGGGUUGUAACCUGCUUUUAGUUGGGAAUAAAAGGGGUCUCGUGAGCCCCGUAUUGUAUGUUCCAUCAGAAAAAGGCCCGGAUAAUUACGUGCCCGCAGCCGCGGGAAUACGGAAGGCUCGGGCGAUCUCCGGUUUUAUUGGGUGUAAAGGGAGCGUAGGCCAGUUUGUAAGACGGAUGUGAAAGUCCGCGGGUCAAACUCGGAAUUGGAGUUGAAACUGGAGGCCUUAGGUGCACACAGGAAUGGCGGAAUUCAUGGUGUAGCGGUGAAAUGCUGAGAUAUCAUGAAGAACUCCGAUCGCGAAGGCAAGUGUCCGGGGUGCAACUGACGCUGAUGCUCGAAAGUGCGGGUAUCAAACAGGAUUAGAGACCCUUGUAGUC
This 462-nucleotide ribosomal RNA is filed under the name uncultured bacterium. RNAcentral's name for it is "partial 16S ribosomal RNA". It matches the Rfam family "Bacterial small subunit ribosomal RNA", at positions 338 to 795 of the family's 1533-position model. The record is from RNAcentral.